RNAcentral lists this ribosomal RNA (468 nucleotides) under uncultured bacterium. RNAcentral's name for it is "partial 16S ribosomal RNA". It matches the Rfam family "Bacterial small subunit ribosomal RNA", at positions 28 to 507 of the family's 1533-position model. The record is from RNAcentral.
GACGAACGCUGGCGGCGUGCUUAACACAUGCAAGUCGAACGGAAAGGCCCUGCUUUUGUGGGGUGCUCGAGUGGCGAACGGGUGAGUAACACGUGAGUAACCUGCCCUUGACUUUGGGAUAACUUCAGGAAACUGGGGCUAAUACCGGAUAGGAGCUCCUGCUGCAUGGUGGGGGUUGGAAAGUUUCGGCGGUUGGGGAUGGACUCGCGGCUUAUCAGCUUGUUGGUGGGGUAGUGGCUUACCAAGGCUUUGACGGGUAGCCGGCCUGAGAGGGUGACCGGCCACAUUGGGACUGAGAGACGGCCCAGACGCCUACGGUAGGCAGCAGUGGGGAAUAUUGCACAAUGGGCGGAAGCCUGAUGCAGCAACGCCGCGUGCGGGAUGACGGCCUUCGGGUUGUAAACCGCUUUCGCCUGUGACGAAGCGUGAGUGACGGUAAUGGGUAAAGAAGCACCGGCUAACUACGUG